AAUAGCAUCUCGCUUCCGCAUAACACACUGCACCGAAGUAAAAGGCAAGCAAGAUUUUAAAGCAAUUUUCUGCAAAAAUGGAAUUACCGAUACCUGCCAAGCUCCCUUCGACCAUUUGUGUCUUGUCCAGGUGUUGCUCGUGAGCUCGCCACCCAGCUUGUAUUUAGUUCUGUUGGUUGAUGUUGCUGGAGUCACGUAUCUCGUCAUGUUACCUUGACUGAUGACUGGUGAAACCUUCAUGCCAGGAUUUUAUCAGGGCCCAAAGGUGCUAGGAGGAAAUGGUCUGGCUCAACUCCGGAGGGACGCCGCAGAUGGGCUUGACCUUUUGCGGCGUGUCAAGCAAAGAAAGCCAGAAGGCAGAAAAGACGGAAUCCUCGAGGCAGAUGCUGCUGAGGAACGAAGCCCUGUAAUCUCACGUCAUUUCAUGUAUAUUCUAAUGUGAAGAGCUCCACCUAUGGACCACCUGUUAAACUACAAUGACACACAAAACCAUCUCCCACUGAAGUCAGUGAUAAAGGUGACAGUGGAUCUUUUCGACUGGUGAUCUUCAGCUCUCCCCCCCGGCUACAGUUACCAUCUCCCACAAUCUUCCAAAAUGGCAACUGAACAGAACAGGUGAUCUGUCAUAUCUAGGUCCUCAGAGCGAGCGGCACACGCACACACACACACACACCGUGUGUUGGUCACUGGCAUGUGGGCGGUGGGGACACCCCGGCUUGGCACUGCCACGAGUUUACUUUCAGCCGCAUGCCACGGUGGCAGCCACGGCAGAGCAAACACGAUCCGAGCGUGACCAUGUCGUGAUAGACAAAUGCCAUCAGGUAAGGCAGAGCUGGAUUUCACGCAAAAGUUCCUGACAGAAGGCGCAGAGCAGGCGGGCGAGGAAAUAAAUGAGUGAGAUGCCGAGAGAAAAGGAGGGAGUCUGUGAUGGGAUGCUGAGAGCGGCUCCGCCGAGGAUGCAUUUCAGCUUUUCAGAGUGGGAGACAGCCUAGUGAAUAUGCAGAGCUAAAGGGGGCACGCGGAGCCAAUGCAACACAAGUGUCAGACCCCGACUGCACCUGAAGUGGCGGAGCUUGACCUGGGUGUCAAUCAUUGGGAAAGGCCAGGGAACAGUACAAGGAAUGCUUGGAUUUGACCCAAAAACUACAGUUCGACUCAUAAAAAUGUACACAUUUUUCAUUUCAGCACCAAAAAAAAAAAUGCAAACCUGCUACUGGAUGUUAGUAAAGAAAAUCUCAAUGUGUGUUUUUGAAGAACCACAGUCCAACAACGAGUGCCAUAAACUCACCUGACAUGAACUGAGCUGACUACUGUUUGCAACUACAUACUUGCAAUGCAAUCUAUCAUGUAUUUUCUAUAAUAUUUGUCCUCAUUAUGAUUGGGGGUGAGCUAGAGCCUGUCACAGCUGACACAGGGUGAGUGACAGGCGCACUCGGGAAUGAUUGCUAAUUGAUCACAGAGCAUAUAACAUUCCCAGUUACAUUCACACUUAUAGCCCAAGCAGGGGUUUGAACCCAGAUUCUGAGACUGAUGUUACUUUUUAUUCCACUGUGCUACUGCAAUGGAGUCUUAUACUGUAGUUAGAAAUUGUUCAAAAAGUCAAAUGUUGCAAUUAAUUUUACAUAGGCAACUCCCAAAAAUCCAACAUUAACUCAUGACUGUGUAUCAGUUAUGGCAUAAAAUUUCUCAAAGCAUAAUUGUGGUCAAAUGAAAAGUUUCAAAUAUUUAAAGAAAACAAAGCAGACACUGAUCAUUUUCACUGAGUAUCAAUUUCAACAUAAAGAACUAUAGAAAAUUUCCAUUAAAUGUACCUGGAAGCAAGGCCUGGUGAUGUAUCGUAUUUUCUUGUGUAUAAUGAGCACCCAUGUAUAAUACACACUCCCAAAGUUGACCUCAAGAUUCUGGAAAACCCUUGUUUUCAAACUCACAGCCCUACUUUUAUUUUGUAAAUUAGAAAACAAUUGUGGCCAUCUGUUUUCCCG
Long non-coding RNA from Syngnathoides biaculeatus (alligator pipefish), 1982 nucleotides. RefSeq lists it as uncharacterized. NCBI's taxonomy places the organism in Eukaryota, Metazoa, Chordata, Actinopteri, Syngnathiformes, Syngnathidae. The record is from RefSeq and is a predicted model, not a curated record. The transcript has 8 exons.